RNAcentral lists this non-coding RNA (182 nucleotides) under Phoenicopterus ruber ruber. RNAcentral describes it as "Eukaryotic large subunit ribosomal RNA". It matches the Rfam family "Eukaryotic large subunit ribosomal RNA", at positions 2621 to 2797 of the family's 3401-position model. Lineage: Eukaryota; Metazoa; Chordata; Aves; Phoenicopteriformes; Phoenicopteridae. The record is from Rfam by way of RNAcentral.
UUGGCUGGGGUGGUACACCCGUCAAACCGUAAGGCAGGUCUCCUAUGGUGAGCUCAGGGAGGACAGAAACCUCCCGUGGAAGAGAAGGGCAAAAGCUUGCUUGAUCUUGACUUUCAGUAGAAAUACAGACCUUGAAAGCGGGGCCUCAUGAUCCUUCUGACUUUUUGUGUUUUGACCAAAAC